Molecule: small nucleolar RNA, 126 nt
Organism: Apodemus sylvaticus (European woodmouse)
Lineage: Eukaryota; Metazoa; Chordata; Mammalia; Rodentia; Muridae
Product: small nucleolar RNA SNORA63
Exons: 1
Source: RefSeq, a predicted model, not a curated record
AUGCAGGUUACAGUUACAAUGUAGCUGAAAUGUUUCAUUGUCAUUGUCCCUGCUUAAAGCAUUUGAUACAUUACUAUCUCUGCCUAGCUCUACCACAGUAAGGCAGAGACACUUGGUUUCUAACAU